Molecule: ribosomal RNA, 699 nt
Filed under: Escherichia coli
Lineage: Bacteria; Pseudomonadati; Pseudomonadota; Gammaproteobacteria; Enterobacterales; Enterobacteriaceae
Description: partial 23S ribosomal RNA
Rfam family: Bacterial large subunit ribosomal RNA
Source: RNAcentral
CCCGUUAUCCGGGUUGCGGACAGUGUCUGGUGGGUAGUUUGACUGGGGCGGUCUCCUCCUAAAGAGUAACGGAGGAGCACGAAGGUUGGCUAAUCCUGGUCGGACAUCAGGAGGUUAGUGCAAUGGCAUAAGCCAGCUUGACUGCGAGCGUGACGGCGCGAGCAGGUGCGAAAGCAGGUCAUAGUGAUCCGGUGGUUCUGAAUGGAAGGGCCAUCGCUCAACGGAUAAAAGGUACUCCGGGGAUAACAGGCUGAUACCGCCCAAGAGUUCAUAUCGACGGCGGUGUUUGGCACCUCGAUGUCGGCUCAUCACAUCCUGGGGCUGAAGUAGGUCCCAAGGGUAUGGCUGUUCGCCAUUUAAAGUGGUACGCGAGCUGGGUUUAGAACGUCGUGAGACAGUUCGGUCCCUAUCUGCCGUGGGCGCUGGAGAACUGAGGGGGGCUGCUCCUAGUACGAGAGGACCGGAGUGGACGCAUCACUGGUGUUCGGGUUGUCAUGCCAAUGGCACUGCCCGGUAGCUAAAUGCGGAAGAGAUAAGUGCUGAAAGCAUCUAAGCACGAAACUUGCCCCGAGAUGAGUUCUCCCUGACUCCUUGAGAGUCCUGAAGGAACGUUGAAGACGACGACGUUGAUAGGCCGGGUGUGUAAGCGCAGCGAUGCGUUGAGCUAACCGGUACUAAUGAACCGUGAGGCUUAACCUU